RNAcentral lists this non-coding RNA (770 nucleotides) under Astyanax mexicanus (Mexican tetra). RNAcentral describes it as "Eukaryotic small subunit ribosomal RNA". It matches the Rfam family "Eukaryotic small subunit ribosomal RNA", at positions 4 to 735 of the family's 1831-position model. Lineage: Eukaryota; Metazoa; Chordata; Actinopteri; Characiformes; Acestrorhamphidae. The record is from Rfam by way of RNAcentral.
CUGGUUGAUCCUGCCAGUAACAUAUGCUUGUCUCAAAGAUUAAGCCAUGCAGGUCUAAGUGCACACGGAAGGUACAGUGAAACUGCGAAUGGCUCAUUAAAUCAGUUAUGGUUCCUUUGAUCGCUCCACACGUUACUCGGAUAACUGUGGUAAUUCCAGAGCUAAUACAUGCAAACGAGCGCUGACCGGUCCUCUCUCGGGGGGGCCGGGAUGCGUGCAUUUAUCAGACCCAAAACCCACCCGGGGGGACCCGCGAGGGUUUCCCCCGGCCCUUUGGUGACUCUAGAUAACCUCGGGUCGAUCGCGCGCCCACCGCGGCGGCGACGUCUCAUUCGAAUGUCUGCCCUAUCAGCUGUCGAUGGUAGCAUAGGGGGCUACCAUGGUGACCACGGGUAACGGGGAAUCAGGGUUCGAUUCCGGAGAGGGAGCCUGAGAAAUGGCUACCACAUCCAAGGAAGGCAGCAGGCGCGCAAAUUACCCAUUACCGACACGGUGAGGUAGUGACGAAAAAUAACGAUGCAGGUCUCUUUCGAGGCCCUGUAAUCGGAAUGAACGUAUCCUAAACACAUGGGUGAGGACCCAUUGGAGGGCAAGUCUGGUGCCAGCAGCCGCGGUAAUUCCAGCUCCAAUAGCGUAUAUUAAAUUUGCUGCAGUUAAAAAGCUCGUAGUUGGACUUCGGGAGUGGGCUGGCGGUCCGCCGCGAGGCGAGCUACCGCCUGUCCCAGACCCUGCCUCCCGGCGCCCCCCGGAUGCCCUUGGUUGGGUGUCCG